AGGGCUAAAGAUUCAAUUCUUCCGAGAUUUCUGCCUUUUCGAAGGCGUGAGCUCCAAAGUGCUAGCAAUGCAUAUGGUGGAUAUCACAAAGGAAAGCACAGUAGCUAUAGACCAAAUGUUUGCAGACCUAUAGGUUUGUAUUAAGGAUGCACUCCAAACUCGCUAAAACAAUACCGAUAAUAUUUCGGCUGCAUACAUAAAAUUAUAAGUUAACACACAACAACACCCAAAAAAAAAAAAAAUUCGAUAACUCUUACGAAUAAUAUACGACAUGUACAGGUGCACAUGCAAACCCUAAAUUCAUCAAGUACUCACAAUUAAUGCAUUGAGUCGAUGACGGCGGGAGAGCUCUAAGCCAAAAAAACUCAUCAGAAUGAGCUUGUUGAUGGAUGGCCAUUCAAAUUUGGUAAGGAUUAUCACCAUCAAUAUGGCAAGCCUCUCGACCUUGAGGAGGACAAUAUCUAUUUUGGGUAGCAUUUCUAUGAGUUUGAAGACCUUUCUUGUCUCUGCCAUUGUUUGCCUACCAAGAGAGGGUGAGAGGGAGAGGGAGAGAGCUAGCUUAGGGUUUAAGAGAUGGAGUACUACUGUUUGUCUGGUAGACUAAGAUUAGUUUUAUCUUCGAUAAUUAUUCAAAUUGUUAGUUAGCUAACUUUAUCCUAUAUAAAUGCAUAUGACGAUUAUCCUUACGAAAACUCAUUAAUUUGGACUCACGCCAACACUUACAGCAAAAAAAAAAUAAAAAAAUUUUAACACCACACAUAGUCUAGUGAUUCUUCUCUUUUUAAUAUGCCAAAUUUGAAAAAAGAACAUAUCAUAAAUGGUAUACGAGCUCUAAAGCAGUCGGCUUGAUUCCUCGAAAGGUAGCCACUGUCAAGCUAUUGUCGAUAGGACGAAGGGGCCAACAAGGACGUCAAGUGCGAAAGCGUAGGGCAAGUUCUACCAAUAAGCUCGUAUCAUGUAAAAAAUAAAAUUUGCAUUUGGAGAGCGUUGGAAUCACUGAUGCAAUUAACAAAAAGUAACUCUGCAGAACGUGCCGCCUAGGCUAGGUCACUUUCGUAGUACAAUUUUGAAGGAACAAAAAUUUGCUAUCUAUCUAUAGUUUUCGUCUCUUAAUCGUACAACUAAUUUAUCUAACUCUUCUUGUGACAACCUAUUGUGGAAAGUUAUCUCUCUAACAUUAAUGUUCCCUCAAAUUCCUCUUGCAUUUUCUUCAACAUAUUCUGGUAUUCUUCUUCAUAUGCUUCUCUUUCUCUUUCCAGUCUCUGCCUCAACAGAUACUUCUCUCUCUUCAAACUUUCAUUUUCAGCCCUCAAUCUCUCAACUUCCCCCUUCUUCAUCAAAUUUUUUAUCUCACUGACACUAUCAAUUUCAUCAGCUUCCACCAAUUCCUCUUCCCAACUAUCAUCAACUUCUUCCAGUGAAUUCAAUCUUCCCAAAUGUCAUCAACUUCUAGAAGAUCAUCUUCCCGUUUCGUGUUUUCUUCUUCAGUAUCAGGCUUUUCUUUCAAUUGGUCCUCGUCUUCUUGCAUCGAAUCCCCUUCCCAUCUGUUAUUUUCUCCUUUU
Molecule: long non-coding RNA, 1562 nt
Filed under: Prunus persica (peach)
Lineage: Eukaryota; Viridiplantae; Streptophyta; Magnoliopsida; Rosales; Rosaceae
Description: long non-coding RNA (PPER_LNC008412)
Source: RNAcentral